GCGGGUAAAUGGGGGAAACCUGAUCCGCAUGCCGCGUGUGUGAAGAAGGUCUUCGGAUUGUAAAGCACUUUUGGCAGGGACGAUGAUGACGGUACCUGCAGAAUAAGCCCCGGCUAACUUCGUGCCAGCAGCCGCGGUAAUACGAAGGGGGCUAGCGUUGCUCGGAAUGACUGGGCGUAAAGGGCGCGUAGGCGGCACAUACAGUCAGAUGUGAAAUUCCUGGGCUCAACCUGGGGACUGCAUUUGAUACGUGUGAGCUAGAGUGGAGAAGAGGGUCGUGGAAUUUCCAGUGUAGAGGUGAAACUCGUAGAUAUUGGAAAGAACACCGGUGGCGAAGGCGGCGACCUGGUCUUUAACUGACGCUGAGGCGCGAAAGCGUGGGGAGCAAACAGGAUUAGAUACCCUGGUAGUCCACGCUGUAAACGAUGUGUGCUGGAUGUUGGGGAACUUAGUUUCUCAGUGUCGUAGCUAACGCGAUAAGCACACCGCCUGGGGAGUACGGCCGCAAGGUU
This 512-nucleotide ribosomal RNA is filed under the name uncultured bacterium. RNAcentral's name for it is "bacterial SSU rRNA". It matches the Rfam family "Bacterial small subunit ribosomal RNA", at positions 359 to 895 of the family's 1533-position model. The record is from RNAcentral.